AUGAACGCUGGCGGCGUGCCUAAUACAUGCAAGUCGCGCGAACAGACGAGGAGCUUGCUCCUCUGACGUUAGCGGCGGACGGGUGAGUAACACGUGGAUAACGUACCUAUAAGACUGGGAUAACUUCGGGAAACCGGAGCUAAUACCGGAUAAUAUAUUGAACCGCAUGGUUCAAUAGUGAAAGACGGUUUUGCUGUCACUUAUAGAUGGAUCCGCGCCGCAUUAGCUAGUUGGUAAGGUAACGGCUUACCAAGGCAACGAUGCGUAGCCGACCUGGGAGGGUGAUCGGCCACACUGGAACUGAGACACGGUCCAGACUCCUACGGGAGGCAGCAGUAGGGAAUCUUCCGCAAUGGGCGAAAGCCUGACGGAGCAACGCCGCGUGAGUGAUGAAGGUCUUCGGAUCGUAAAACUCUGUUAUUAGGGAAGAACAAAUGUGUAAGUAACUAUGCACGUCUUGACGGUACCUAAUCAGAAAGCCACGGCUAACUACGUG
Molecule: ribosomal RNA, 496 nt
Filed under: uncultured bacterium
Lineage: Bacteria
Description: partial 16S ribosomal RNA
Rfam family: Bacterial small subunit ribosomal RNA
Source: RNAcentral